CUACAAUGGCGUAAACAAAGGGAAGCGAGACGGUGACGUUAAGCAAAUCCCAGAAAUAACGUCCCAGUUCGGAUUGUAGUCUGCAACCCGACUACAUGAAGCUGGAAUCGCUAGUAAUCGCGAAUCAGAAUGUCGCGGUGAAUACGUUCCCGGGUCUUGUACACACCGCCCGUCACACCAUGGGAGUCGGAAAUGCCCGAAGUCAGUGACCCAACCGUAAGGAGGGAGCUCCCGAAGGUGGAGCCGGUAACUGGGGUGAAGUCGUAACAAGGUACC
This 276-nucleotide ribosomal RNA is filed under the name uncultured bacterium. RNAcentral's name for it is "partial 16S ribosomal RNA". It matches the Rfam family "Bacterial small subunit ribosomal RNA", at positions 1225 to 1500 of the family's 1533-position model. The record is from RNAcentral.